AUUGAACGCUGGCGGCAGGCCUAACACAUGCAAGUCGAACGGUAACAGGAAGCAGCUUGCUUCUUUGCUGACGAGUGGCGGACGGGUGCGUAAUGUCUGGGAAACUGUCUGAUGGCGGGGGCUUACUACUGGAUACGGUUGCUAAUCCAGUGUAACGUCGCAAGAACACAGCGGGGGACCUUCGUGCCUCUUGCCAUCGGCUGUUGCCAGAUGGGAUUAGCUGGUAGGUUGGGUCACGGCUCACCUUGGCGACGAUCCCUAGCUGGUCUGAGAGGAUGAUCAGCCACACUGGAACUGAGACACGGUCCAGACUCCGGCGGGAGGCAGCAGUGGGGAAUAUUGCACGAUGGGCGAAAGCCUGAUGCAGCCAUGCCGCGUGUAUGAAGAAGGCCUUCGGGUUGGAAAGUACUUUCAGCGGGGGGGAAGGGAGUAAAGUUAAGACCGUUACUCAUUGACGUUACCCGCAGAAGAAGCACCGGCUAACUCCGUG
This 490-nucleotide ribosomal RNA is filed under the name uncultured bacterium. RNAcentral's name for it is "partial 16S ribosomal RNA". It matches the Rfam family "Bacterial small subunit ribosomal RNA", at positions 30 to 507 of the family's 1533-position model. The record is from RNAcentral.